AAAAACAAUAAAUGUUAUUUAAAAACAAGAUAGAAGAAAAAAUAGAAACACAUUUUGUCCUGACAAUGUUUAAGAUCUAGUAAGGAGGUAAACUUGAUAUGCAAAAAUAUGACAGAAAUACCUAAAACUAAAUAUAAAUUAGUACAGAAUAUAUCAUUAUAUAAGUUACGUACAGAAUUGCCGAAGCAAUUUAAGCUCUGAGCCUGAUGGGGUUAAUCACUGAAGGCUUCCUGGAAGAGGUGAGUUUAUAAGCAAGGUUUGAAAAGAGAGAGAUGCUAGACAGAUGUGGAGAGAGUUCCAUACAAGGAAUAUGUGAUUUAUGCCCUGUCUGACACAUUUACUUAGCAAAAGUUUCCAUAUUCCAGAGAGGAAAUCCUCUUUUCCUGACUCUUGGACCGCUGUUUUAGCAGUAAAGCAGGGAAAGGUAUUAAGACUAUUACUUCCACCUAAGUUAUACCUGGUUUUAAUACAAAUAGGACUUUUAUUCCCCUCUCAAACCAUUGGCGGAGUUCUAAGGCAACCUGAGUCCUCUGCUGAACUGAGUCAGAAAAGAUCCACCUGUUUUUCACCUGUGUACAUUUCCUUACCCUUAGGAUUCCAGACCACAUCUCUUUCUUAUUGGCUGCAUUGGAGUUAGUGGCAAGACGAAGUGGGAUGUGCUCGAUGGGGUGGUUAGACGGCUGUUCAAAGAAUACAUCAUUCAUGUCGACCCAGUGAGUCAGCUAGGGCUGAAUUCAGACAGCGUUCUUGGCUACAGCAUUGGAGAAAUCAAGCGCAGCAACACUUCCGAAACACCGGAGCUGCUUCCUUGUGGCUAUCUGGUUGGAGAGAACACGACCAUCUCAGUGACUGUGAAAGGUAAUUGAGCUUGUUGCAGAAGUCGGAGCUUUCAGGAAUUGCAGUGUUUGUUUUGUGACUUGGCAUAGGCACUUGUGGCCCCAGUUUUGUUUGUGCAUGUAUUUGUGGGCUGCUUGUCUCCCUUCUACCACAGUUACUCUAUGCAAGUUGAACCGUCUUUUGCUUUUUCAACCACCUUAGGAAACAAAAUCAUUUUAGUUUAUUGCUGCAAUUAUCUAACAAAAGAUCCCAUUAGCCUUAUGACUCUGAGAUGAUGGAAUCUUAAUAACCCUGUUGAAAUAGGGCUUUACUAAUACUGAUGAAUUACUCUUGCCAGCAAGCUUUGGAUGCAGUCCCGUUCUACAGAUGGGAAAACCACGACUUGCAAUAGGCUGUAGGAGUCACUCUGAGCAUCCUGAUGAAACUGCUGAAGCUUGUGCCCACGCAUGAUGCUGCUAGAGCUUCCAGUUUCUCAUUACCUAGUGAUAUUAAGCCCCAGGCCAGUGGAUUCCUUAGAACUCCAGGCCCACAAAGUUCACUGAG
Molecule: long non-coding RNA, 1380 nt
Filed under: Homo sapiens (human)
Lineage: Eukaryota; Metazoa; Chordata; Mammalia; Primates; Hominidae
Description: HSALNT0172866
Source: RNAcentral